AGCACUUUCUUUCGAGGUUGGAGUAGUUUUGGCGACAUCUGCACCUACUCUGACUCUGACCAUCGACUCUUAAAAAGGGAUCGCUGAGCGACCUCAGCCUUCCAAGACCUCUACUUGGGUAGGGUCUUCUAAGAAAGCCGAUGAUGAUGAGGCCCUUUCCGAUGAUAUUUUGGAGGAUCUAUUUUUUUAAGACUGGAAGGCAGUCUGAGAACUAUCAAAAACUUCAUUAUUCUGAUAGAGUUGGAGCAGAUAGACAAGAUAAGUAUUUUCAGUCUGAAGAAGCUGCCCUUGACCGUUGGCCACCAGGUAUAGCAUUUAUCC
RNAcentral lists this long non-coding RNA (321 nucleotides) under Elaeis guineensis (African oil palm). RNAcentral's name for it is "long non-coding RNA (EGUI_LNC014987)". Lineage: Eukaryota; Viridiplantae; Streptophyta; Magnoliopsida; Arecales; Arecaceae. The record is from RNAcentral.